AACGAACGCUGGCGGCAGGCUUAACACAUGCAAGUCGAGCGCCCCGCAAGGGGAGCGGCAGACGGGUGAGUAACGCGUGGGAACGUACCUUUUGGUUCGGAACAACUCCGGGAAACUGGAGCUAAUACCGGAUAAGCCCUAACGGGGAAAGAUUUAUCGCCGAAAGAUCGGCCCGCGUCUGAUUAGCUAGUUGGUGAGGUAACGGCUCACCAAGGCGACGAUCAGUAGCUGGUCUGAGAGGAUGAUCAGCCACACUGGGACUGAGACACGGCCCAGACUCCUACGGGAGGCAGCAGUGGGGAAUAUUGGACAAUGGGCGCAAGCCUGAUCCAGCCAUGCCGCGUGAGUGAUGAAGGCCUUAGGGUUGUAAAGCUCUUUUGUCCGGGAAGAUAAUGACUGUACCGGAAGAAUGAGCCCCGGCUAACUUCGUG
This 431-nucleotide ribosomal RNA is filed under the name uncultured bacterium. Its description in RNAcentral is "partial 16S ribosomal RNA". It matches the Rfam family "Bacterial small subunit ribosomal RNA", at positions 29 to 507 of the family's 1533-position model. The record is from RNAcentral.